UGGGGAAUCUUGCACAAUGGGGGCGACCCUGAUGCAGCGACGCCGCGUGAGCGAUGAAGCCCUUCGGGGCGUAAAGCUCUUUCGACCGGAACGAUAAUGACGGUACCGGGAGAAGAAGCCGCGGCUAACUACGUGCCAGCAGCCGCGGUAAUACGUAGGCAGCAAGCGUUGUUCGGAGUUACUGGGCGUAAAGAGUGCGUAGGCGGUUUUCUAAGUUCGGUGUGAAAUCUCCCGGCUUAACUGGGAGGGUGCGCCGAAGACUGGGAAGCUGGAGUGUGGGAAAGGCAGGCGGAAUUCCUGGUGUAGCGGUGAAAUGCGUAGAUAUCAGGAGGAACACCGGCGGUGUAGACGGCUUGCUAGACCAUAACUGACGCUGAGGCACGAAAGCGUGGGUAGCAAACA
This 402-nucleotide ribosomal RNA is filed under the name uncultured bacterium. RNAcentral's name for it is "bacterial SSU rRNA". It matches the Rfam family "Bacterial small subunit ribosomal RNA", at positions 355 to 774 of the family's 1533-position model. The record is from RNAcentral.